This 75-nucleotide transfer RNA is filed under the name bacterium. RNAcentral describes it as "tRNA-Ile". It matches the Rfam family "tRNA". From Rfam's summary of the family: Transfer RNA (tRNA) molecules are approximately 80 nucleotides in length. Their secondary structure includes four short double-helical elements and three loops (D, anti-codon, and T loops). The record is from RNAcentral.
GGGCCCAUAGCUCAGGUUGGUUAGAGCGCAUCCCUGAUAAGGAUGAGGUCCCUGGUUCAAGUCCAGGUGGGCCCA